AUUGAACGCUGGCGGCAGGCCUAACACAUGCAAGUCGAGCGGAUGAAGGGAGCUUGCUCCUGGAUUCAGCGGCGGACGGGUGAGUAAUGCCUAGGAAUCUGCCUGGUAGUGGGGGAUAACGUCCGGAAACGGGCGCUGAUACCGCAUACGUCCUGCGGGAGCAAGUGGGGGAUCUUCGGACCGCACGCUAUCAGAUGAGCCUAGGUCGGAUUAGCUAGUUGGUGGGGUAAAGGCCUACCAAGGCGACGAUCCGUAACUGGUCUGAGAGGAUGAUCAGUCACACUGGAACUGAGACACGGUCCAGACUCCUACGGGAGGGCGCAGUGGGGAAUAUUGGACAAUGGGCGAAAGCCUGAUCCAGCCAUGCCGCGUGUGUGAAGAAGGUCUUCGGAUUGUAAAGCACUUUAAGUUGGGAGGAAGGGCAGUAAGUUAAUACCUUGCUGUUUUGACGUUACCAACAGAAUAAGCACCGGCUAACUUCGUG
RNAcentral lists this ribosomal RNA (484 nucleotides) under uncultured bacterium. Its description in RNAcentral is "partial 16S ribosomal RNA". It matches the Rfam family "Bacterial small subunit ribosomal RNA", at positions 30 to 507 of the family's 1533-position model. The record is from RNAcentral.